This is an RNA transcript of Cynara cardunculus var. scolymus (artichoke), 4656 nucleotides long. It is a transcript of the gene named pentatricopeptide repeat-containing protein At4g33990, with no coding region annotated. Lineage: Eukaryota; Viridiplantae; Streptophyta; Magnoliopsida; Asterales; Asteraceae. The transcript has 7 exons. The record is from RefSeq and is a predicted model, not a curated record.
UAUGCAAAAAAUUGCAGGGCACCAUCCAGAGGCUUAGAAUUCUGUACCAGUGCUGAAAGAUUUGUAUUCUUUGUAGAGCAAACAACCAUUCUUCCGAUGCUCAGGCUUCUAUUUGGAGAUAGAUUACUGCCAAACUUCAAAAGGAACUACUUUCCAGCACUUCUUCAGUCCGAUCGGUGUCUUCAUACAUUAUAUUCCUCUUUUGCAGAUGAUACCCAAACUUCAUUAAAUUACAGUGGGAUCGAUAACAGGGAGAUUGAUGUUGACCUCUUAUUUGACUCAUGCACAAAUUCCCAGCUUGCCAAACGCCUUCACACCUUACUUAUUGUGUUGGGUAAGGUCCAAAGUCUAUUCAUUUCCACAAGGCUUAUCAACCUUCAUGCCAAUCUUGGUAAUAUCUCUUUAUGUCAACAAACUUUUGAUCAAAUCCCUAUAAAAGAUGUUUACACCUGGAAUUCUAUGAUAUCUGCAUAUGUCCGCAACGGCAUUCCUAGUGAUGCUGUGAAUUGUUUAUAUAAAAUGUCGAGGUAUGAAGUUAAGCCUGAUUUCUAUACUUUCCCCCCUGUGUUAAAAGCAUGUCGUAAUUUAAAUGAUGGGAAGAGGAUACACUCCUGGAUAUCCAAAGCAGGGUUGGAAUGGGAUGUCUUUGUUGCUGCUUCUUUGGUGCAUAUGUACUGCCGCUUUGGUUUGUUUGAUGCUGCUUACCAAAUAUUUAGGAAUAUGCCCUUUCGAGAUAUGGCUUGCUGGAAUGCUAUAAUAUCUGGGUUUUGUCAGAAUGGGAAGGGUGAAAAGGCAUUGGAGGUCUUGGAUGAGAUGAAAUUUGAAGGGAUUAAAAUGGAUUCUGUUACUGUAUCCACCAUUCUUCCUGUUUGUGCACAAAUGGAUGACAUGGUGCAAGGAAGAUUGACACAUUUGUAUGUCAUAAAGCAUGGACUGGAAUCUGAUUUAUUUGUUGGCAAUGCCUUCGUAAAUUUCUAUGCAAAAUUUGGUGAACUUGAACAUGCUCAGAAGAUCUUCGAUAAUUUGGUGACAAGAGAUUUGGUAUCAUGGAAUUCAAUAAUUGCUGCUUAUGAGCAGAAUGGUAAUCCUGAUUGUGCACUUAACCUUUUUCAUGAGUUGCAAAUAAAUGGAUUUAAGCCUGAUUUGCUGACACUAGUAAGCGUUGCUUCCAGUAUUGCUCAAUCAAGGGACUCUCAAAGCAGCAGAUGUGUCCAUGGUUUCAUCCUAAGGAGAUGUUGGUUUGUAAAAGAUGUCAUAAUUGGAAAUGCGGUGGUGGACAUGUAUGCAAAACUGGGAGAUAUGGACUCUGCUAUCAAACUCUUUGGAAGUAUCUGCUUUAAAGAUGUAGUUUCUUGGAACACAUUGAUUACAGGAUAUGGACAAAAUGGCCUUGCAUGUGAAGCCAUUGAAGUUUACCGUAUGAUGGUAAAGACUGAAGGCAUAAUGCCGAACCAAGGAACUUGGGCGAGCAUUAUACCGGCUUAUGCUCACAUAGGAGCCCUAAAAGAAGGGGCUACAACUCAUGGGAGGGUCUUGAAAUCAGGCCUGCUUUCGGAUGUCUUCAUUGGAACCUGUUUAAUCGACCUUUAUGGAAAAUGUGGAGAAGUGGAAGAUGCAUUAUCUUUAUUCUAUCAAGUACCUAGAAAAAGUUCAGUUCCCUGGAAUGCUGUGAUAUCUUGUCUUGGCAUUCAUGGACAUGGAGAUAAGUCUCUGCAACUAUUUAGGCAUAUGCUUGAUGAAGGGGUUCAGCCAGACACUAUAACUUUCAUUUCCUUAUUAUCAGCAUGCAGCCAUUCAGGUUUAGUUGAGCAGGGUGAGCGGUUCUUUAACUUGAUGCAACAUGAUUACGGGAUCAAACCUAGCUUGAAGCACUAUGGCUGCUUGGUUGAUUUGCUUGGUAGGGCUGGCCAAUUAGAAAAGGCUUAUAAUUUUAUAAAAAGUAUGCCUUUGCAACCCGAUGCUUCAGUUUGGGGUGCUCUUCUUGGUGCUUGUAGGAUUUAUGGAAAUGCGGAGUUGGGUAAAGUGGCUUCAGAUCGCUUGUUAGAAGUUGAUCCGGAUAAUGUUGGAUACUAUGUUUUGUUGUCCAAUAUAUACGCAAAUGCUGGAAAGUGGGAGGGUGUGAAUAGAGUAAGAUCGUUAGCUAAUAGCAAGGGAUUAAAGAAGACUCCUGGAUGGAGCUCCAUUGAACUAAACAAUAAGAUGGAGGUUUUUUACACGGGGAACCAAUCCCAUCCCCAAUGUGAUCUAAUAUACGAAGAGUUGGAAAAUUUAACAGCCAAAAUGACGAUUCUUGGUUAUAUUCCAGAUUAUAGCUUUGUGUUGCAAGAUGUUGAGGAGGAUGAAAAACAACAUAUCCUUACAAGUCAUAGUGAGAGAUUGGCAAUUGCAUUUGGAAUCAUUAACACUCCUUCUAAGACCCCUAUUCGGAUCUUCAAGAACUUGCGGGUUUGUGGGGAUUGUCACAAUGCCACCAAGUUCAUAUCCAAGAUUACUGAGAGGGAGAUCAUCGUGAGGGACUCUAAUCGUUUUCAUAAUUUCAAGGAUGGUGUAUGUUCUUGUGGUGAUUAUUGGUAAUAUUUAAGUUCAAUCCACCAAAAACAGACAAAAUCCAGUUUGGAAUCUCUCAGAUAAUGCAUCAAUCAUCAGGUUUGAGAUUUCCAACUUCAGGCUUAUAGAUUUUGGCGGCCUCUACUCUUGCACAUACAUGUUUUUUCUCUCUUUCACACACUUUUCAUAAGCCGGAGUCUUCAUAGUAUGAAACAGAAUCUUUGAGGUAUAAGUCAGGUUUGCAUUGACCCCACCUUCUAGUGUGUUGGUGGGAUAUACCGGCAACAUAUGUUUUUUAUUAUAUGCAUUUUGUUUUUGGUAAAUUUUAUUUGAUGAUUCACUUUCAUAUAUUUGUAUUUGAUGCUUAGUUGAAAUUAAAAUUAAAAAAGCCUUGAACUGCAAUUCUCUUAAUGCGUCACCGUCAAACACAUGCUUAAUAACGUUUUUCAUCUUCUGGGUUUAGAUGCAAAUCUGCUUAUUACUAGUCAAUAUUUUAUGACUUCUUUUUCCUUAUAUGAAAACUUGUGACUGGGUUUAAAUCGAGCUUUUAUUUGGCUUUAUAAGCAGUAAUAUUUGGUCUUGAACUUGCUAAACUGCCCUUUUCCUUCAUUUGUACGUAAUAUGCCUAGUAUCUAUAUAUAUAUUGGGGAUUUGUGUUGUUUGAUGAUGGGUAUUAUAAUCUUUGCGCUAAAUGUUCACUUCUGCUGUCAUAGUGGUUGAUUUCAGGAUGAGGUCCUAGCUGUUCCUUGCUUAUUAUGUUGUUUACAUCGAAUGUUUGCAUAUGCUAAAUAAUUAAACAAGAAGGGGCCGUUUACUUACCAGGUAAGCAUUACCGGGAAGAGUCAUCAUCCUUGAUUAUUUUACCGGGAACUAGAAGUCUAGAGGUUUUGGUUGGGUGCGGAAGAUAAGAAAAUUACAGUUUUUGGAAUGUCGUGGGCGAUGUUAGCGGUUGUUCCUUAUUCAUUCGUUGCCGUUGAACUGGUGACGCAACAAUGAAGGCAGAGCCAAGUCUCAACAAGAAGCCAGAGGAAGAACAAGACCGCUUGUUUUGGAGCUAGGAAAAGGGAGCCUCUUUGGCAGUGCAUAAAGAAUUGUUUUAUGUGCUGUAAGCUGGAUAAGGGACCCAACUUCCCCUUCCCUGAAGAAAUAUUUGAUGAUCUCUUUUGAUAUUCAGGGAGAAGACAACAUGGUCUACCAAUGAAGACUAUUUGCUAGAGAUGAAGUUCAGUCCCUCCAUUGAUUAUGGCUUCUUCGUCAAUUUCCACUAAGAGUAUAACUUGCUUCAUUGCUUUCCUACCCAAAACUCUAAAACUGAUCACAAUUUUUUUGGACGUUUAUUCAAUUACAGGUUAAUAAAGGUUGAUGGGAUUAUUUGGCUGAUGGAAGAGGAUAAUACUGGACCGAUCAACAUUAGUAAUCCAAAUGAAUUUACAAUGAUUGAACGUGCUGAGACAGUGAAGGAGUUUUUUAAACCAACAAUUGUUAUCCAAUGGCAUUGGAGCAAGUAUUUGCAGAGCAAAUCAACAAUUAUGUUGCUGAUCUUGAAGACCGAAAGUUCGGAUGGUACUGUUUUUCUCUAUAUGCCGUUCGAACCAUGUAUCCUCACAUGGACCCAAGCAUUCACAAAGGUGGAACUGCAAAUAUCUUUAUAAAGCGACUAAAUGUCAUCAUGCCAUUUGGGUUGGUUUCGGCGUGGAACAAGCGAAGAAGAAUCAAGUCAGAAGGAUCAUCUUGAUCCAUGCAAGUUUCUGCGGUUUCCGCAAGUUCCCACCCAAGAUUUCUGCAACUUCUAAUGGUGAAUACUGAACCUUUUGCGGGGUUUAUAGACAUGUUGCUAAUAGUUUUUGGCUGAUGACUUGAGUAGUAUGUGUUCUUUAGUAGAGGUUGAGAAGGUUCUAGAAGGUGAGGUUGUAGUUGAACAUCAAGUUGGGCAUGAAGCUAUUGUUGGUAAUGGAGGUGAAGCUGCCAUUGGACAUCAAGAAGGGAUAGAUGAAUAGUCGAAUACCUUGUAUAUGACAAAUAUAUGGAAUGUGGAUGAUCUUCAGUAGAUAAUACUCUUGAUAUAGAUUAGGAAUUACUUUGUAAUGGUAAGUGAUGCAACUUGUGGUA